UUUGUCAAGGAUUGGGAAUGUGAAAUCAGAGUUAGACCAUUACUUAGAUGAACCUGUCUUGCCACGCACCAUGGAUUUUAACAUUUUAAAUUGGUGGGAUGCAAAUAAGAGUAAGUAUCCUACAUUGCAGCUGAUGGCUCGAGACAUCUUGGCUAUUCCAGUAUCAACUGUCGCAUCUGAAUCAGCAUUUAGUACAAGUGGUAGGUUGGUGAGUCCACAUCGCAGUCGACUUAGUCCUGGCCUUAUAGAGGCUUUGAUGUGUUCUCAAUCUUGGUUGUGGAAUGAUCUAGAAGCAAAUGCAUCGGCGUCAACUCUUUCUGCUGGAAUCUCUCGGUUAACAAUCUGUGAUGAAGAAAAAGAUUAAAAGGCUUCAAGACUUAGGAGAGUGCAGUGUUAUAGUUGAUAGUUACAGAAGAUAUUGAGCGUGAAAAAGAUGCAGAAAUUUGUGUGGAACACCAGACCUUAUCAAUUAGUAGUAGACACCAAUCUGUCUCUAUAGGAGCAGCGGUUUUGAUUAAUUCAUGAACACUGUGGAAGACAUGGGAGAUUGCAAAUGCCAAUAGAUCAUUUAAGGGAUUUAAAUCAGUUUUUGUGUUUUUGUUAUCUUUUGUUAAUUUUAGACUUCAAUUUUGAAUAAUUUGGGAUGUAAACUUGCUUUUGUUUUGGUUAUGGUGGAAAG
Cornus florida is the source of this 679-nucleotide long non-coding RNA. RefSeq lists it as uncharacterized. NCBI's taxonomy places the organism in Eukaryota, Viridiplantae, Streptophyta, Magnoliopsida, Cornales, Cornaceae. The transcript has 4 exons. The record is from RefSeq and is a predicted model, not a curated record.